This 253-nucleotide ribosomal RNA is filed under the name uncultured bacterium. RNAcentral describes it as "partial 16S ribosomal RNA". It matches the Rfam family "Bacterial small subunit ribosomal RNA", at positions 524 to 776 of the family's 1533-position model. The record is from RNAcentral.
UACAGAGGUCCCAAGCGUUGUUCGGAUUCAUUGGGCGUAAAGGGUGCGUAGGCGGCGCGGUAAGUCGGGUGUGAAAUCUCGGAGCUUAACUCCGAAACUGCAUUCGAUACUGCCGUGCUUGAGGACUGGAGAGGAGACUGGAAUUUACGGUGUAGCGGUGAAAUGCGCAGAUAUCAGGAGGAACACCGGUGGCGAAGGCGGGUCUCUGGGCCGUAACUGACGCUGAGGAGCGAAAGCGUGGGGAGCGAACAGG